Talpa occidentalis (Iberian mole) is the source of this 159-nucleotide small nuclear RNA. RefSeq annotates it as U1 spliceosomal RNA. The record is from RefSeq and is a predicted model, not a curated record. The transcript has a single exon. NCBI's taxonomy places the organism in Eukaryota, Metazoa, Chordata, Mammalia, Eulipotyphla, Talpidae.
UUACUUACCUGGCAGGAUGGAUGCCUUGAACUGGAAGGUGCUUUUCCCAGGGUGAGGCUUAAAUGUUACACUCUGCUUGUGCUGACCCCUGCAGUUUCCUCAAAUGUGGGAAACUUGACUGCUUAAUUUGUGGUAGAGAAUGCAGAGGGACUACAUCCG